CACUCCUGCGGGAGGCAGCAGUGGGGAAUAUUGCACAAUGGGCGCAAGCCUGAUGCAGCGACGCCGCGUGGGGGAUGAAGGCCUUCGGGUUGUAAACUCCUUUCGCUAGGGACGAAGCUUUUUUGUGACGGUACCUAGAUAAGAAGCACCGGCUAACUACGUGCCAGCAGCCGCGGUAAUACGUAGGGUGCGAGCGUUGUCCGGAAUUACUGGGCGUAAAGGGCUCGUAGGUGGUUUGUCGCGUCGUCUGUGAAAUUCUGGGGCUUAACUCCGGGCGUGCAGGCGAUACGGGCAUAACUUGAGUGCUGUAGGGGUAACUGGAAUUCCUGGUGUAGCGGUGAAAUGCGCAGAUAUCAGGAGGAACACCGAUGGCGAAGGCAGGUUACUGGGCAGUUACUGACGCUGAGGAGCGAAAGCAUGGGUAGCGAACAGGAUUAGAAACCCGAGUAGUCCCAUGA
RNAcentral lists this ribosomal RNA (458 nucleotides) under uncultured organism. RNAcentral's name for it is "partial 16S ribosomal RNA". It matches the Rfam family "Bacterial small subunit ribosomal RNA", at positions 334 to 800 of the family's 1533-position model. The record is from RNAcentral.